Suricata suricatta (meerkat) is the source of this 106-nucleotide small nucleolar RNA. The record is from Ensembl. NCBI's taxonomy places the organism in Eukaryota, Metazoa, Chordata, Mammalia, Carnivora, Herpestidae.
AUCCUAUUGCCGUUCAUGUAGGUGUGAUGAUUGGGUGUUCACGUUGUCAAGUGACAUGUGCUUCCCUCAAACCUUGUUAUGAUGUUGGCACAUUACGCAUCUGAGG